Molecule: long non-coding RNA, 1582 nt
Organism: Monodelphis domestica (gray short-tailed opossum)
Lineage: Eukaryota; Metazoa; Chordata; Mammalia; Didelphimorphia; Didelphidae
Source: Ensembl
AAAUUGUUAUCAUUAUUCAUUCUUCUCUGGGUUCAGAAGGACACAGGCUUGCAUCUGAUCGGCUUUCUCUGACCCAAGUCAUAGGCUAUUGAUCCCAGCUACAGUCUCAACUGUAAAAAUGCUGAUCUGGAUUCAGAGAUUAGGCAAACAGAGGUUAAACAGCUUGCUCAAGGUCACACAGCUAGCAAGUAUCUGAAGCCUGUUUUUGAACUCAGAUCUUCCUGACUCCUGGUCUGGUGCUUUAUCCACUGAGUCACCUAGCUGCUACAGUGAUGCCUUGUCAUGGCAUCCUGGAUUUAGAGUUGGCAGUGGCCUUAAGAUCACCUGGUCUGGUCCUAUCAUUUUAUAGAUGAGGAAAAUGAAGCAACUUGUCUAAAGUCUCAGUCACACUCCAUUUUUGGAUCAGACUCAAAGGGACUUGAGCAUCCUUGUCAGUGUCUCUCCUACCUCUUUGGCCUCACAGAUCCUCCUGGAGUCCUUUGGUUGCCAUCUUACUACCUGUUCAUCACUCAUCACAAAGGUUCUGGUUAUUAUCACACAGACUUGGAAAUACACUCAAUCUGGAAUCAGAUAAUCUCCUGAUCUAAAGUAGCUGACCUGAGGCUUCAUGACAGGAAGUAAACGUUUCAAUGAAGAUCUGCUAAACAAAACUCAGCAAUCAAGGUCCAAAACAUUGGAAAUCAAAGUCAGGAAGGAAGAGUGGGGCUGAAGUAUCAAGCAAAUGAGAGUCACCAGACAUAUAGGCAAAGUCAAGAGAGUCAUUGAAUAAUUAUCAGAACUGCAAUUCUGGUGAUCAGAAUCACAAUUUAGAACAAAGGUCAAGGAACGAAAGAAAAAAAAUAAUGAGCCUACUUUACCAAGUUCUAGACAUGGAGACCUUGAAUUGGAGCUUAAAGGACAAGUAGUGAGUCCCAGCUUGUCUGGAGGCCUUCAAGCAGAAGCUGAAUUAACCCUUACUGAACAUGCUAUAGUGGGGGAAACUUUUAGGAUAGGAUUUGGACUAAAUGGACAUUAAGAUCUUUUCCAACUUGGAAAAUCUAUGAGUCUAUAAGAACAAGAAGGUAGAAUAUUAUUAUUAUAAUUUUUUUUAAACCUUUACCUUCCAUCUUGGAAUCAUUACUGUGUAUUAUUUUGUAUAUUGUGUAUUCACAGUAUAUUACUGUGUAUUAGUUCCAAGGCAGAAGAGUGGUAAGGACUAGGCAAUGGGGGUUAAGUGACUUGUCCAGGGUCACACAGCUGGGAAGUGUCUGAAGCCAGAUUUAAAUUUAGGACCUCCCAUCUCUAGGCUUGACUCUCAAUCCACUGAGCUACCCAGCUUCCCCAUGGUAGAAUAUUAUUAAGAUCUGACUUGCUCCUUAACUUGGCUUCCUUCCCCUUUCAUUCUUGGCCAAGGAAAUGGUCUUUGUAAAUAAGCAUACCUGUCUAUUCCUAUUGUUGAGACCUUACCCCCUUAGGCCCAGAGAAUUGCUUAGAAUUUUCUUCAAAGAGAAGGAGACAGACUGAGAGCCUGUUGGAUUAAAACUUUUUUGGUUAGUUCAGCCUUCAGAUACACCUUAUUUCUGUGAUCCUUAAAGAACGGGCA